AUACGGGGGGUGCAGGCGUUGUCCGGAAUCAUUGGGCGUAAAGGGUUCGUAGGUGGAAUUAUAAGUCUGGUGUGAAAGCCCACAGCUCAACUGUGGAACUGCACUGGAUACUGUUUUUCUUGAGUUAUAGAGGGGUUUGUGGAAUUUCUGGUGUAGAGGUGAAAUUUGUAGAGAUCAGAAAGAACACCGGUGGCGAAGGCGACAAACUGGCUAUUAACUGACACUGAGGAACGAAAGCGUGGGGAGCGAACAGGAUUAGAAACCCUAGUAGUCC
This 274-nucleotide ribosomal RNA is filed under the name uncultured bacterium. Its description in RNAcentral is "partial 16S ribosomal RNA". It matches the Rfam family "Bacterial small subunit ribosomal RNA", at positions 523 to 796 of the family's 1533-position model. The record is from RNAcentral.